RNAcentral lists this ribosomal RNA (460 nucleotides) under uncultured bacterium. RNAcentral's name for it is "partial 16S ribosomal RNA". It matches the Rfam family "Bacterial small subunit ribosomal RNA", at positions 338 to 795 of the family's 1533-position model. The record is from RNAcentral.
CCUACGGGUGGCUGCAGUGAGGAAUAUUGGUCAAUGGACGAGAGUCUGAACCAGCCAAGUAGCGUGAAGGAUGACUGCCCUACGGGUUGUAAACUUCUUUUAUAAAGGAAUAAAGUGAGGCACGUGUGCCUUUUUGUAUGUACUUUAUGAGUAAGGAUCGGCUAACUCCGUGCCAGCAGCCGCGGUAAUACGGAGGAUCCGAGCGUUAUCCGGAUGUCUUGGGUUUAAAGGGAGCGUAGAUGGGUUGUUAAGUCAGUUGUGAAAGUUUGCGGCUCAACCGUAAAAUUGCAAUUGAUACUGGCAGUCUUGAGUAAAGUUGAGGUAGGCGGAAUUCGGGGUGUAGCGGUGAAAUGCUUAGAUAUUACGAAGAACUCCGAUUGCGAAGGCAGCUUACUAAGCUGCCACUGACAUUGAUGCUCGAAAGUGUGGGUAUCAAACAGGAUUAGAUACCCGAGUAGUC